Molecule: long non-coding RNA, 739 nt
Filed under: Salmo salar (Atlantic salmon)
Lineage: Eukaryota; Metazoa; Chordata; Actinopteri; Salmoniformes; Salmonidae
Description: lncRNA (ENSSSAG00000104491.1)
Source: RNAcentral
UGGGGUGUGUGUGUGUAUUGAUCAGGGGGAACGUAAUACAUUUUAGAAUAAGGCUGUAACGUAACAAUGUGGAAAAAGUCAAGGGGUCCGAAUGCACCGUAUACCUGCUUGGGAGACUCUCACAAUGCCACUGAAGCAUCUCUGUUUCUGUAUUGUGUUAUUGUAGGAAACAGAAAGAUUGUAGAGAGGUCCGUCAGGAGGAGCCAGCACUGCCUCCCUAAGGAGUUUAUGGAUGAAACUUGGGAAUCACAAGAGACAUACGAGAUUAAGAGCAACCAGAAAGCUGCGAAGGAUGAUUAGUUGUUUGGUGCCUUCAAGGGGCUCAGUCUGAAUGUGACAGGAGGCACCCAGAGCUCUAUGGCCUCUAGCGGGGACCAGUGUAAGGUCAUGUGAGACAAAAGACAACUUGUAUCACCUGGCCUCUGCUUCCAGGCUUCGUUCAUGUGCGUGAAAGCCUGGGCCGAAGCUACAUAUCUAACACUUUAAUCUGGUCCACCAGGCUCUAUGUUCCUAUAUUUAUGUGGUAACAAAAAAAGACGGGAUGAGGUUACCUACACUUGCCCUUGUGAGACAUUGAGAAGACACUGAACUCUAGGAAAAACAACACUUGUGGUGAUAAAGAAGCCAAAGUUGUAAAGGUAGACUCAGCGGUAUGACGUAGAUGCAGAAAGUAAACAGCAUAGUGGGCCAAUUCCCGCAACAACUAAGCGUGAAGCUCAACUCUGCUGUUUUUGUCCAG